RNAcentral lists this long non-coding RNA (29402 nucleotides) under Solanum lycopersicum (tomato). RNAcentral's name for it is "long non-coding RNA (SLYC_LNC000390)". The record is from RNAcentral. Lineage: Eukaryota; Viridiplantae; Streptophyta; Magnoliopsida; Solanales; Solanaceae.
UUGAUUUCCUCAUGUUCUAGUGCAUUGUUGAGUUGCUUAUAUACUUAAUGAGAUGAAUUUAUGAACAUGUCUUAGCUUGGAUUUGAUAGAUUCCUCCUUGAAUGUAUGUCAUGAGUAUAAAUUGCAUAUAGGCUCUAUGAAAUUUUGUUAAGAAUGUUUUAGUUCAGAGAUGAUAGUUCAUCCUUGGUUAUGAUUAGUCAAGAUAUUUCAUGCAUUAUGGGUUGUUAGAUGUAGUUCCUACCUUCCUAGAGAUGCAUAAACAUGUUUGAGAUUAGAGUUCAUGUUUCCUACUUAAUUGUGUGCAUUUAGAUUUGUUGUAUGCAUGAUUGUCUACUGGUCAAGCGUCGUUCCUUUAAGAGUUGUCAAGAUCGGCAUUCGAGGAAUAUUGUCCCCAAGGGAGAGAUAUUGUAACACAUUAUAGCUAUUAGACCAUCUAAAGAUAAGUAUGAAUGUAACAAGUCAAGACUAUAGGGUAAGAGACAAAGCAAAGGGCCAAGGGCGAAGGCUGCCCCAAGCUGCUACGACACUAGCCCACUCCACGAACACCACCACAGCCAAUGUUGUGGACCACAAAUUAUGGAGUGGUCCGUGGUGGAUAAAGAAAUAGCUACCUUAGGCUUCCCAAAUAUGGAUCAUCUUCACGAGCCACUUCACGGACAAUGGUGAAUACCACAGCUCGUGGGAAGGCCAUUGAAGAUGCCUUCAAAUUGUGGAGGACAAAUCAUAUUGGCCUAGGUACUGGUCCAACGACCACGAGCAGGACCACACCUCGUGGUGCCUGUCACUAGGCUGACUAAUGAAGGGUAAAAUGGGAAAUUUCCCCUGAAGUGGGUAUUAGGUGAGGUUGUUUUGUAGACUUUAAACACCUAUAUAAGAUAUUUUAACCCUUUACACUCCCCAAUUAAAUCAUUAAUUCCAAAACCCCAAAAAAAUCUCAAGUUUUCAUCCUCUCAAAAGAAAGUAAAAAAGAACAUGGUCAAGCUAGGUCAAAUCAAACAUUUAUUGUUUCUAACUUGGUAUGCUUUAUAAUCAAGGUAUGAUGAAUUAUUCAUCCAUUAAAUCCUUUCAUCCAUGGUUUUCCAAUGUUUUCCCUGAUUGUGAAGAUGAAAUCCCUAAUUCUGGGUAGGGUUUUUUCAAAUGUUUUGGAUAUUGAUGUACGUUGUCCAUUUGAGUGGAUAAUGGUAUCUUGUUUUAAAUUUAAAUUACAUUUUUAUAUACAUAACCCAUGUCUAUAGAAGUGAAAUUGAUGUAAUUUGGUUUUGUGUCAUGCAAGGUGAAAUUGAGGAUUUAGAUGCAAUCUUCUAAAAUUGAUGAAGUAUAUUAUAGAUUUCUUGAUAAAUAAGAAUAUAGACAUGAAUUGGAGGUGAUUAAUGUAUGUAUGCGAAUCAUGAUUAUUAGUGCUUUGGUUUGGGGAUAAUAUGAUGCAAUAUGUAUAGAUUACUUAAUAUGAAAGUUUAAAGGCAUGAUUUGGCUAAUAUCAAGUAUGCAUGCUGAGUUAUGAGUUGUAAGGCCUGGUAUUAGGAUUUUCUUGAGCCUAAGUUAUAAAUGAUUAUUGUUGGGUCUUUUAGAAUAAAGCUUAUACGUUCAAUUAUGACUAGUUGGGCGUUAGAGUAAAGCUAAUAUGAUGAUUUAAGACUACCGAGGCUUUGAGAGUAUGAUGAAUCUUAAUUGUAUAUGGUAUUGUUGUGGAAGGAUUACCCACAUGAUCUAUACUAUAAAUAUAUUCAUGUUCUUAUAUAAUCUAUGUAAAUUCUUCAAGGACACUUUUAGAGUAAAGUGUUAAUGAUUAUAAAGUUGUUGUUAUAUUAGUUGAAAGGACACUCUCUUGAACACUUAAUGGACAUGACAUGAAAGGUUUUAUCACAUAGAAUAAUUCUAGGUUGAAAGUCUUUCUCACCUAGUAUGAAUCAAAACAUGUUAGAAUUAUGGUAUCUUGAAGUAGUGAUAAGAUAUACCUUCAUGAAUAGCUUGACUAGGGAAGGAAAAACAACACUUGGUAGCUUGAGUUAGGAGUCCUCAUAGACAGCCUUGGGCUGAGCAAUAGUACCUUUCCAAUGGUUAGCUUGAACUAAUUAGAAUAUAGUGCUUGCCAUGGUAGCAUGACUUUGUGAGGCCACACCAUAUCAUUGGUAGCUUGGAUUGGGCAAUAGUACCCUUUCUUGAGUAGCUUAGACUUGCACAAGUAAUGUUCCUUCCAUGGUAGUUUAGUCUAGCAUCAGGUAGAGUAUACCAUGGUAGCCUUGAAUUGUCGUAACCAUUCCUGAGUAAUGGAUUGUCUUGAACUAGUAAAGAGGCACUCUUCCAUGUAUAACAAGAAUAGCUAAAGAUGGACUAGUCCCAAAUUGAAAUAUCAUGUUUUCGAUGAAACUAGAUUACUUCAAGAUAGUAUUGUAAUUAUGUUUUUAUAUGAGAUUUACUUGACAUGAUGUAUACUUAGCUUGGAUUGUUGCUAUAGUUGCAUUCCUUGAUAUGUUUGACUAAAGGUGAAUGUUCCCUGUCUAUUAGGAAUAAGCUAAGGAUGAGAUCAAAUCAUGAUGUAUAUGAAAGAGGGCCUAAAGUGGAUUGCAUAGCGUAGUUGAGAUUUAUGGGUUCAUGUACAAAUAUGCUUUUAGUUACUUAUGAAGUGGGUAGCUAUAAAUUAUAAAGUUUAAAAUAGAAUGAUCGCUUGUGCAGAUCAAGAGGCUACCAAACUAAUUUUAUGCAAUUUAUGGUCAUUUAUGUGUUGAUCACUUCUGUACGUCAUUUAGAACAUUCCUAUUGUGACCCAAGUUAGUUUUGAUUUUUUGGGAGUGAUAGCUCCGUCACUUGGUAAUUUUUCGGUUAUAUGUAAAUUUCUAUGUUUCGGAGCUUAAGAACCUUGAACGGUAGUUAUUGAUCAAAUUCUUAGGAACAUGACAAUUAGAAACAUAUCCCAACAAUUUCAUCAUCUCUAUAAGAGUCAUUUUAGGGUAGUAGGAUUAUCGACAUUACUCUUGAGGCUUUCAAUGUGAAUCUAUGUGAUUAGGACUUUUAACUUCCAAUUUAGGGCCUAGGUUUCACCUUAGUUAUAUUCCUGGUAAACAUGCUUGAUUAAUAAUUCCAUCGGUACAGUUAUCUCUUUGAGUUUUUUCUAGAACGACUCUUUGUGUAAAUCCGGAGGCCUUGGGUUAGUCGUGAUCCCCUUGUGUAUUUUGAAUUAAAAUAGAGUCUAGGGUGGGACUUACAUUUUUCUAUCAUGACCUUGUAAGAGAAUUUUGACUACUUCUUUGAGCAUAUAAUAUUGAUCUUAGUAGGGUCGAAUAUAUGGUUUCCAUACACGGGGUUCCAAACAAAUUCAGAGCACCCCAUUGAAAAUGAACUUACCAAUAAUAGUUGUUGUGCAUCAGCUAGUGUAGGAUAAGUUACUCUUCGCCUUCACGGGCCCCUUAGCCAUGUUAUCAAAGGACUUGCCCUUGGUGCUUCUCGAAAUUUAGGCCUUUGGUCAUAAUCGCUAUUAAGGUUUUAAAAUAUUUGGUCAUCACAACCGCGAUAAUGGCCUCCGUAAUUAAGAUGGUCAACUUCUUUGUGAAUGAUCGUGAUCAUUCUUGUCUCGAUUGUGAUGAGAAGCUUAAUAUAGAAUUUUAUAUAUGGACCAAAUAUGAUUUCAACUUUAUUUGGAAGCUUGAAAGGAUGAUAUCUCUCGUUUUAGCUCAAAAUUGGGUGAUUCGAAGUCUUGUGCAUCCAAAAUUGUAGGAGCUUCUCUAUGGAGUUAUAAAGAAAAUGUUGGGCAGCCUCUAUUUUAUUUGAGAUACAUUCAAGUGUUAAGCUGACUACCUAAGCUUGUUUUCAGUUCUACGUUAGUAAAUUAUUUGCAUGUGAUGAUUUUCCAUUAUUCCAAACCCCUAAUCAUGUUCGAUUUUGCAAAAAUUGUAUCAACACAAUUAGCUCUAGAAUGUUGAGUUUUAUCAAGAAUGAACCUUUGUUAAGAUAUGUAUGCUUUGGGUUAAUUCUGUGCCCCUUGUGAAUUUUGAAUUAUAUUUUGCUUAGCUGAAAUUCUAUGCGAAUUUGGAUUACUCUGUUGAGUACGGAAUAUCAAAUUUGUAGGUUUAUAUAUGUUAUUUUGGUGCACUGGGUAUAAAACUAAUUUGGAACACCCUAUCGGAGGUUUGAACUUGACAAAACAAGAUGAUGUGCAUCAGCUGGUGUAGUUGAUCUGCACUUCUCAUUUUCAGACCCCUUGGAUACGUUCUCCGACCAUGAGGCCUUUGGCCGCACUCACAAUUAAGGGUUGGCCUUAUUUAGUCUAGCAUGUUAUAUACAAACCAGACAGGAUUUCAGUUUUCUUUUGAAACUUCAAAGGGUGAUAUCUCUAAUUUCAUCUUUGAAAUGGGUUAUUUGAAGUCGAGGACAUCCAAAAUUGUAGGGAUUCCUAUGGAGUGAUCCAAAUUUUUUGGACAACCUCUAUUUGUGGUAAAUUCACUUUUUAAGAUGAACGCCUAAACUUACUUAUGGUUAUUAAACCCAACAACUUGUUGGUAAAUUAUUUUCAUGUGAUGAUUGUCAACUAUUUCGAGCUCUGAAUUGUGUUCCGUUUUGGAACACAAGUUCAAGGUACAAUUUAGAAGUUUUAACAGAGUCAAUUCCAAAAAUUAUACCACGGGUCUCAUGAUUCCCAUUUAACACUAAAAUUGGUCAGUUUUGGGUUUUAUGUCUUCUUAGUGUUGAAAUAAUCAAUUGACAUUGUGAUCCUUUUUUUCAUAUCACAACUGCGUUCUGAGUCCCUUUAAAAGGGGAAAGCUCCACAUUGUCUUUUGGAGUGCAUAUUGUUGGUCUAAAGGUAGGCUUCAACUUUCCAUUUGUUGGAUUGAGCUACAUUUCAUAAAUUUAUACCAAUUAGAGUUAAUUUGGGAGGGUACAUAGUUGUUCUUAUAUGCCUUCCUAGAUAACAUGUUUAGGUUUGAUUGGCUCUAGUUUGGGCAUAGUAUCAUGCUAGUUAGGGAUUAUAUGCUCUAAUUCUAUCUGCUGAAUUGAUUUGUAUGUUGUUAUUUUUUACGUUGGAGCAUGCGUGAUGUUGGUCUAGUACUAGCCUAUUGUUGCCUUAGACUUGCGAAUCUUAUGGCCAUUAGGCCUUGUUUCUUUUUCAUCAUUUUUUUAGAUAGAUUAGCCUCCCCUAAACUAGAGUAGUAGAGUUGAAUAUUAUAGAAUGAGCCUUCAUUUAGUAGUUGUUUCAGAUUUUUCUAGCUACCAUUAACUUCCCCUUUUUUAUGGCCCCAUUACAAAAUUGGAGGUCCCGUUGUUUGUUGGCGGCUUGAGAUUGGAAUGGUUCGGGCUUGCCAAGUUCGCAAGUUAAGAACAAAGGAGGUCACAUCAGUCAAGAUCCUAUAGAGGACCACAUUUGUUGAACAAGCUACUUGGGAAGCUGAAGAGGAUAUGAAGAAAAUAUAUCCACAUUUCUUUGAAUUUGGAGGAGAUGCAGAUUUUAGAUCCUCAACAUUGCAAGAGUGGUCCAUAAGCUUAUGCAUUUGGUCACUUGGCAAAUAUGUGGUUUUGUAAGUUAAUAUGAAAAAGAAAGGUGGUUACAAUAUAUUUUCUGGUAUCAUGAAAAUCUAUGUUGGAUUGUGUUGAAUAAGUAGAGAACUUCAAAACACUUAGUACUCAAUAAAGAUCUAGAUUUAACUUUUAUGUAAUUAAUAUUUUGACAUACAUAAUUAUCACGAAGGGAAAAUAAUUAAUUCUACAAGAGACAUUUUAUUAUAUGAAUUUAUAGUAAAUCUAAAAAUGAAGUUGUUAUCCAACUAUUUCUUACUCAUACAAUAAUAGUUUGCUUAGAACAUAAUAAAUUGUUCAAUUGUUCAAAUACAAAGAGAAAGAGAAUAAUUUAUUUUAUGGAAAAGGACCUAAAAUAAACUCAAAGUAUUGAAAAUGGUACACAAUUACCCUCCAUCCACCUAUUGGCCUCCAAAUACCCUUUACAUCCACCUUUGGGUCCAAAUUUACCCCUUUCAUUAACAGAAAACCAUUUUAAAUAUUUAAAUAAUACUUUUAAUUAUGUAGCACUCGACCAUUGAUGAAAGGGGUAAAUUUGGACACAAAUGUGGAUGGGAAGAGUAUUUGGGGGUCAAUAGGUGGAUGGAGGGUAAUUGUGUAUCAUUUCAAUACUUCGAUGAUAUUUUUAGCCCGUUUUCCUUUUAUUUUAACCCUUAAGCAGCACAUGUUCUUACUUCUCAACAUCAUUAGAACAUGAUGCAUGUAAAUGUUUUCCAACCCAUAUUACUUCUCUCUAUUACAAUCAUUUGUCAAAAAUCCUAAACAAAACAGAACAUAAAAAAAAAGAGAGAAAAAAUCCAGAAACUGAACAUGGAUUCGGAUAUUGUUGGAAUUCUGACCCUCAAAUUUGCCUAAGGAACAAGUAUAUACUAUAUGUUUCUUUGCAGAUUACAGCAGUUUCAUUUUGUGAUAUAAGUAACAUAAUGACACAAUAUUUUAUCGCGGAAAACACCAACUCACAACGGAUAAAAACCACGACCUACACCUCUGUAGGAUUUAACUCCACUUUAUAAACUUCAAGUCUCAAUAUAAUAUUACAAGACUAUGUAACCUAAGGAAUUAUAAACUCUAAUUUCAAGAGGAAUUAUAAACUCUAAUUCCUAACUAAGAAAUAAUUAACUCUAAUUUCUAACUACCCAAGACAAAAACGCCCAGGUUUUAAGUCUUCUACCAUCCGUCAAAUUUUCAAACUUGUUAGACGAAUCCUACAUAAACACUCGAUUAUAAUUAAAACUCUUAAUUACAAUCUUACAAUGUUUUUCUCACAAAUUGGCAACACUCCCAAGUAACUCUCAGAACUCUCUCAAACCUCUUGAUCGUGUUUUGAUCUUCUCUCUAUGUAAUCGCAAUUUUCCUCAAGCAAAACUAUCAUCGUAUUUAUAGAUUUUGACUUAAAUCCAAAACCUAUUACAACUAGAAAUCCUACUUCAUGUAGAACUCCUCUUUUGUGUGAACUCCUAGUUCAACUCAAACUUGUCUUCGCGCAUCUUCAACUCCUUGUUGGAAUCAACUUUGUUUUUGCCUCUACGAAACCUUGUUAAGUUCAACUUGAAUUCUUUAUCAUUGUUUGUCUUUGCCGCAACCGCAUCUUCGUUCUCCUUAAACAUAUGUUGUUGCCUCAAGGUAAACUUAUACUUAGUUUUCCUUAAAUAAGUUGCCAGGAAAACUUACAAUCAAUUUUCCUUAAUUAAAUAAGAAAACCUUCAACAAAAUUUCCUUAAUAAAAUAAGAAAAACCUUAGAACGCUAGUUCUUUUUUCAACAUGAUUGCGAAAUCCGUUAUAAAAGGAAACUUUCGGUAUUGGUUGAUUGUCGAAAAAUCAAUACUUUCAUAGCUUUAUAUCUUCUAUUCGCGAGAUUGACGUUCUCCUUAUCCAAUUUAGAUUCUGUGCGUAAGGAACACGUCAAAUAACCUGUUUCUUUCAUAUGUUCCUGUAUUUGUCAAUUAUCAAAAUAUUUCUCAUUCUAACAAAUUCCCCCUUUUUGAUGAUGACAAACAUACAUUACGAACACAACAAAUAAGACAUACAUCUUUCCCCUUAUGCCAUGUUAGUGCUACAACUCUUUAACUUUGUCAUACUUCAAAACAACGAGCCUUUAACAAAUUCCCCCUUUUUGACUAUGUCAAAUUUUAACUUCUCACAUUGAAUAAGCUAAACUCUUAUGCAGUUGCUUCCCCCUUUUGACAUUAUGCAAAAAUAAAACACUGUGAGGCAUACACCAUACUAAGAGAAGAAAAUUUGAUACUCAUGACCACUGGCUAUCACCUACUCAACCACUUAAAAAAUCAAGAACUCAGUUACCUAUAGCAAAGUGUUUGCACAAAACAUAUUAGAUAGACAUGAACCUGAAACUCAAACCCAACACUAGCAUUACUCAAAAAGCAUAUACACCACAAAUGUAAUCAAAAUUAAAGAUAGAAUCAAGCAAUUGUGAUGAGAAAAAAUUGGGAAGUCAAAGGCUAGACUGGCUAGGUAAUAUCAGAAGAUCGGGCAUAAGAUGGUAAAAAAAGUGAUUUUUUCAGCAGCAAAAAAAUGAGGAUUAACAAAUUAGCACCCUUCUCAAUCUCAAUUUGCAAGCUCAAUCUUUUUAUAUCAAUUUUAAGGAACUUGUUCAAUCGAUCGUGUACCCUGUGCAGAACCAAUAGUUCACCCAUCUUUAAUUUCAAUAGAAUCGGUAAGAAGAACAAGUUUUCUUGAACAUUAUUUGUAGAGGAUUAUGUUCUCUCAAUCUGUUCCCUGGGCGUGGUGCUAUCAGAUGCAGCAUUGAUAUACCGUGGUUUCACAGUAUUAUUAAUACUUUUUCCUUAAGUUUAGUGUAACCAAAAGCCUUUUUGUGCUAAUUUUUAUAUAAGUUUCUCUUUGUUUUGCAGGAAGUCUGUCCAAAGCUGAAUGCGGAGAUUUUGAGCAAAGAAAUGCAUAAGAGACCACCUACGGAACUUGUGACGGUCCGUCGUACUUGUGACGGUACGUAGGUGGCAGCGUAGUGCAACUGCUGAAGGAAGAUGGGGAAGUCUGACCAAGUGUGGGAUUAUGUAGCUUGUGACGGUCCGUCGUGUCUCUGGCGGUCCGUCCUGCAAAUUCACCGUGAAGUUCAGAGAAGUGAUCCAGUACCCAGAUUCCAAGAGUUGAAGUGUUUUAGAACGAAGACCCUCGACGGACCGUUGUGCCUAUGACGGUCCAUCAUACUUGCCGUUGAGGGGAAUGAAGAGAGCAGCAGAAUAAAUUGCACAAUUAUGGGACGAUGGAGUCCACGACGGUCCGUUGUGACCACAACGGUCUGUCGCGAGGUCCGUCGAUCCAGCCGCGUUUUGGCAGAUUUCCAACAAUUAGAAUCCUUGUUUAAUUAGGUUUUUGUUUUUUUAUAAAUAGUUCGAAAAACCUCAUUUUUGAGGUUAGACACCAGAUAGUUAGACUCCAUAUUAUUAGACUUUGUGUAUUAGAUUUUGAGAUUCUUGCAAUUGAUUUUUGGAGAUUAAUCAAGCAAACUUUGGAUUUUAUUCUUUCUCAUUGAAGUAAGUACAUGAAUUUGUAUUUAAUAUACUUGAAUACUGUGUUUAUGGCUAUGAGUAACUAAACUCCAUAACUAGGGUUGUGGGAACCAUAGGCAAAUAAUGAGAUAAACCCUAACUAAAAUAACAAUUCUAGAUUAGUAUCUUGCAUGUAUUAAUAAUUCUUUCGCUUAAAAGUCUUUUUAACGGAUGGCCAACAUUAGAACUCGUCUUAAUGCUACUUUCCGGACCAAGGAGGUAGAUAAUAGGAAAAGAAUUAUUAACAUAGAUUUAGUUUAUACUAUCUAAUAGGCUAGUAUUGAUUGGUACGAGGUAAUAACUUAGUCAAAUAUCAAAUACGAUGCUUAAUAUGAGGUAAGGGUAAGGGUUAAGAUAGCAACACACGUAGCCGGACCAAGGUGCGGAGUGAGAUUUUCUAGAUGCCGGACCAAGGAUUUAGAAAUACAUAACUUAUCACUUUGCAUGCAAGAUACUAGGAAAGAAUUGUUAUAGUUAGAAUUAUCAAGUUAUGAACCUGUGGGGAACACGUAAACCCUAGUUACUUUGAUUAAUUGAUUAAAACCCAACAUCCAAAGCUGUUAAGUGUCUCUUUCGAUUUCGUUAUUUAUUUUCACUCAUUUAGAAAUAGAAACCCCCUUUAUUUUUUUUUACUUUCCAAGGAAGUCAUUAACCAAACAAUAGUAAUAAUAGGUUGAAGAUAAGUCUAGACUAAUUUCCUUGUGGGACACUAGUUGGGUUAUUUACUUGACACGACCGCACUACUUCUUAUUUGAGAAGUAAGUUUGAGCGUAUCAAAUUUUGGCGCUGCUGCCGGGGAUUUUAGCUUUUAGAUUAACUUAAACUUAUUACUAUAGUUUAGUUGAUAUUUUCUUGAUUUUACUUUGUUUUAUUGUUUUUGAUUUCUUUUCAGAACCAUCCUCCUUGUAUGCCAAAUACACGGAGAGGAAGAGAACCCUUGUUUCCCUAGGAUCAAGAGUUAGGGAGUACACUGCGCAAUAUGAAUCGAAACUUGGGAAUAAAUGAUGAGGAUCCGAACCAGAACAUCCCAGCUCCGGUUGAUGUUCAUGGUCAGAUGUUACCCGAUGCUCUGGGUGAAUAUCAAUAGAGGGGACAGAAGCCCAUUCCACGGCCCCAAGCAUACUACAGAGGGUAUGAUAACAUAGCAGACUCGGAUGGGGCACUUGUCUUUCCCCCUCUACCCACAGGCCACACCUUUGUGGUAACUAGUAGCCUGAUGCAAAUGCUCACUGCCAGAGGUUUGUUUUCAGGGCUACCUUCUGAGGAUCCACAUGCCCAUAUAGCUAAGGUAAGGCAGUGUGUAAAAGUUGUGUGGGGAGGCCUGAUUUGGAUCUAGAUGUAAUUGGGCUCAGAGUGUUCCCUCUCUCACUGAUGGGAGAGGCUGCUAUAUGGUUCACUGAGCUCCCAUUCAACUCAAUCUUCACUUGGAACCAAUUAAGAGAUGUCUUCUUAGCAUGCUACUAUCCGGUCUCCAAGAAACUAAACCACAAAGACAGAGUGAACAACUUUGUGACACUACCAGGAGAGUCAGUUAGUAGUUCUUGGGAUAGAUUCACCUCAUUCUUGAGAAGUGUUCCAAAUCACCGUAUAGAUGAUGAGUCACUGAAGGAAUACUUCUAUCGGGGACAGGAUGAUAACAAUAAAGCGGUGUUGGACACUAUAGCAGGUGGAUCUUAUGGGGAGUGUCCUUAUGUUGAGAUCGCUGAAAAAUUAGAGAAAAUCUCCCGGAAUAACAAAGCUUGGAGUACUAGGUAGUCUGAUACAGGGAGAAACACCUUCACAGUGCAGUCCACUCACAACCCAACCACAGAUGAGAUUCGGGAAGAAAUGGCUCAGAUGAGAACUGAGCUUGGAUUGGUACUAAAACAUGUCACAGGGGGUGCAGAAAAGAUAAAUGCAGUCAACUACUUGGCUAAACCACCACCUCCUAAUGAUGAGUGCUAUUAUGCGGAGGACACUUAUGCAGUAAAUGAGCAGACGGGGGGUUUCCGACCAAGCGCCCAAGGCUCAAAUCAGGAUAAUUGGCGCCAAGGUCAACGGAACCAAGGUCGGAAUUAUGGUAACUACAACCGUGAGGGUCAUUAUGUCCGAGAUGGAAACUACAAUCGCGACAACAACUUCAACAGGGGUAACUAUGGUAAUAGAAACGACAGGAAUGGACCCUAUGUUCCUCCUUAGAAUCGUGAAGUUACUCCUAGGGAUGGUGGAGAUAGUAUGGCGCGAGUUGAGGAUAUGUUGCACAAAAUGAUGAGGAGGUUCGACAUUAGUGAUAACACAUUAAAGAGUUGAGGUGUGAUUUAGCUAGUAUUGGGCAAAAAGUUGAUACACAUGCAAUUUCAAUUAAACAGAUCGAAUUGCAAGUGGCCCAAUUAUCUGCGACAGUGAACACACGGAAACCGGACACACUUCCCAGCAACACUGUCCAAAAUCCAAAGAAUGAUGCGCACUGUAUGGCAAUCACUACUCGGGGUGGUAGGCAAACCAUUGACCCACCUAUGCCAUCUACUGGGGAAAAUGUGAGAAAGGAUAAUGAUAAUGUGGUAAAGGGUAGUGGUGAAGCAGAGGAAAGUAAUGGAAAAUAUGCAGAAGUACCAACCCCUCAUUUCACCCCCAUUACUUCAUAAUUUCUCCCAUUACUCUUCCCUUCUCAACUUCCACUAUCUGUUUCUCUCUCAACCACCGAUCAUUGCCCUCUCACAAUUCCCCAAAGCUCUAAAGUGUUAUCUACUAGUGGAAACUGCUGAUGUGAGUGUCUACCUUGCCACCAAGUACUUGUGCAUUUGUUUUUCUCCAUCUCUAAGGUAUGUGUCUCUAAAUUUAUACUUAUUUAUCUUGCCUUUUUGUUUACUAGUUAGUAUUAUGCUUAGUUCCUCUUCGUAUGUUGUUUACUUUAGAUGAUUCUCUCUAACCUAGGUUAUAAAUGUUCAAAAUUGCCAUGUUUACCACCCUAGACAUAGGUGCUUUUGCGUUGCCAGUUUCCUAGGUAGUUGGGUUAGACACAUGUAGGUCCAAAACACUACAAGGUUGAUGUGGGUUCAUCGGGGAUGCUUAGGAUACCCUUAGUUCUGUUACUGUCCUUCAGAACGAGACCCCGAUGAUGGACCAUCGUACCUACGACGGACCGUCAUAGGGUCCGUUGCAAAAGCCCUAGCACCCCUGUCCCAACGGACACAUGUGACGGAUCGUCGUACUCACGACGGUCCGUCCUGCAUAACCGUCAUGCUAGAUAGAGACCGUGUUUCUAAGGGUCUCCAUUUUUUUCAAGUGUCCUACGAUGGACCGUCGUACUUGUGACGGUCCAUCCUGCACAUACCGUCAUGCUAGUUAGAGACUCUCCUUCAGGGUUCUCUAUAUAUACAUAGUCUAAGUAAAACACGACAGACCUCACGACGGUCCGUCACAGUCACGACAAGCCGUCACCAGAACCGUCGUGUGUCACUGCUUCUACAACAAUGACAUGCUAUUUUUAAUGAUUUAUUUCGUAUGGUUUCGCUUGUCUUGUUUGCCACUACUCGUACUAAUAUUGAUCCUUUGCAGGUACUAUCUACUAUGGCACCCAAGCAAGACCGAACCAAUGCACGCAGGCGAUCAAAGUUUGUCGCCCCGUCUGCACGCAUGAUCAUCGGCUCUAAUGAUGAGUGGGACCCUCAGUAUGUGCCCCCAGACACUUCCACACCUUCUCGUGCUGCACGUGCUCCUAGAGCCACACCCAAAAAGGUGGCGUCCGGCGUAGUCACUGCUUCCCAGUCUGAUGAGGAGCGCACACUAACCGGCACACCCUCUGGGUCAGCCACCAAUGAGGAAGGAGCGUCUGGCUCCUAGGAGUAUCCUGGUCCAAAGAAGCCUCUGGCUCUGCUAAGGUUCCCGCACCCGCCACUGCUGCAGCGUUGGCCUCGUCUAAUGAGGCUGACAGUUCAGACUCUACAUCUGGCUCACCAGCUUCGGUCCCCACUCAAGCAAUUGACCAGCCCAACCGGUGGUGUGUCGACAAGCAGUUUCAAGUCUACUCCGACGCCAAGUUCCUGACUGAUAAAGGAGUGAUGACUCGAACACUCACUUUGGAGCGGCGGGUACUUACAGGGAGUCUCCCAACGAUGCCGGAGAUCCACAACCUCUUCACUAGGCAUCGCUUAGAGUGGACAGCACGUCCGUUGGGACGAUACAGCGAGGAAAUGGUCCAAGAGUUCUACGCAUCCUACGUAGCGACUCUCCGAUCACAGAUCGAUAGGCGGGAUGCCCCGCUAAACAGGCCCCACUGGAGCAGGUCUGAGUCCAAGGUGUGUAGGUUGACAUUUCCCUGCCAUCCAUCCGCCUGUUUCUGUACGGCGAGAGUAUUGAUGCUACUCGGACCCCCUUCACUGCUGAGUUUGACUACCGCUGGCAGAUAGUCAAGGAUGGCCAGUUCUUGCGCGAGCCAACACUGAGAGAGACCACCAAGAGGUGGAUGGCCCUGCACCUGUCAGUAGAUGGAGAGGGUGCCGAUUGGGUGAAUGAGCCGAAGGGGGCCAUCAAGAAGGCCAACCUGACGUUCACAGCAAAGUUCUUGUGGCUGCUUGUCCGUCACUGCCUUUCCCCCACAGCUGCUGAUAACAUCGUUAUCUGGGAUCGAGCAGUGUUGAUGGCGGUGAUGAUAUCCGGAUUCGAGGUGGACUUCGCAUGGCUUCUCUAGGCAGUCAUGCACGAGAGGGCAUUCAAGGUCACUACUACCUACCCUUUCCAGUGCAUGAUCUUUGCCCUUUGCAGGUCCGUAGUUGUGCCCAUAUGGCACGUAGAUUAGCUUAAGACCCCGCAAGGCACUGUAGACAUCAGCCUCAUCAGAGAUGAGGCCAAUGAGUUGGCUCCACGUAGAGGGCCCCGUCCAGAUCUGCCCCCACUUGCUGAUGAUCUUGUUGAUAUGGUAGCCCAGGCCCACACAGCUACACAGGCGUCCACUGACACUACCCCGGUCGAGUCUAUCCCGGGUAGUGGCAUAGCCCCGAGCUCCUCUCGCACAGCCCCUCUACCGGCACUGGUCCCUCUUGCAAGGGUCCAAAAACUAGAGGCACAAAUGGCCACUCUUCUGCAUCAUAUCCAGUCGUGGAUGCAGAAGUCGAACACUGAGUCCGAAGAGCGUCUAGAGAGGAAAAUGAUGUAGUUUAUAGAGCGGAAGAUUGUUGAGGUUAACCAGCGACUGGACGCCUUUGAGUUGAGAGUGCUAGCCCGACCAGCCCCUCCGGUGGAUGUGUCGACUCUUCAGGCUGCAGUCGACAGUCUUCGUGCAGACAUCGACACGAUCUUAGAGGCUAGGGUGCCGGAGUCUGAGGCCCCUUUUGUCGAGCCUGCUGAGGACACCGUGUUGGCGACCCUUUUUGCUACUUCUGACAUUCCACCACCUCCCCAUCGAGAGAGUGCCAAGAGGUGUAGGGGUCGAGCAGAGGACGAGGUGCGAGCAAGGAAGAAGGAGCGCCGAGAUAUAGAGGCCGAGGAAAGCCUCUCUUGCUGAGGAGGAGGCGCACCGAAGGAGAGCAUCUGAGUUAGGCGUUGGGGUGUCUAGGUCCCGCACUGUGGAGAUAGCAGGAGGCACUAAUGAUGGUGCAGAUGUUGCUGAGGAUACCACUGAGGGUGUCCAGAUUGCAGAGGACAUGGGUUCCGGGGAACCGAACCCACCAUCUUGCUGAUAGAUGGCGCUUUGCGCCACAGGUUUGCUUCACCUACCACUCUUCUUAUAUUUCGAUUUUUAUGCAUUGGGGACAAUUACAUGCUUUUUUGUUAGGGGUGUGGUAAAUGGAUAGUGAGUGUUAGGGUGAAGUCUGAGUAGCCCAAUUCACUAUCCUCUUUUGGGGGUUUCUUGCCUGUGUUCUUUUCCCCCAAAAGACUGAUUACUUUUUCUGUUGAACCGGCAUGUUUAUAUCUUUUGUACAUAGUUUAAAUCUGAAGCAUGAUGGCUAAAAUGAUAUCAUGAUAAACUGGAAAAUAAUGCAUGACUAGGCAUAGUAACUGAUAAUUGUGUGGCUCUAAGCAUGAAAUAGAGUUACACCAUUGCAUUACUCUAAGUCUUUAAUUCGAACUAGGUGUCUGAUAAUCUGGUAUAGUGAUGAGAUGUCAAGUGAGUGUGAGGAAAUUUGAAUAGUCCACUAUUGGUACUGAGCUAGAACUUGCCUGGUUAGUCCUGCUAAAAGUAAGUUGUAAUAGACAAUUAGGAAAUGAUCAUAGGCCCUUAUUCAAUAUAGCCCACUUCUAGCCUAAAUAAAAGAAACCAAAUGAAAUUUAUCCUUCUUUGAUCCAAAUAAUCUGAGCUUAAAAUUAGACCUUUCUUUUUCACCCCAACUGAUCUUUUAUGGGAACAAUGUGUUGGCCCUGGUCCCUCCUUGGACAUGUGCACCUCAGCUUAUGCCAAAAGCAUAAGUUGAGGGUGGCUAAUGCAUAAAAAACCUUCGUUAUGGUCCUGACCCAACUUUGGGUAUUGUGUACCUUGACUCAUGGCAAAGCCAUGAGUUAAGGGUGGCUACUAUGAGGAAUGCUAUGGAAAGUGGGGUUGAAAGAACAAAGAAAGAGAAAGAACAAAAGUAAAGUGACUCAAAAAUUAGAUGAAAAGAAAAGUAAAGAAAAGAAACAUCCACAAGAAAUACAAGCAAGAAAAGAAGAGAGUCACUUACACAAAUGAAGAAAGAAGAGAAAAUAGCAAGGUGAAAGAAUAUGAGAAACUGGGCGAGAUAAAAUGAGAGACAGUGGAAGGUUUAGCCUAUAUGUCAAGGAGGGAAAAAAGUCACUAAAGUAUACCAAAAUAUACCUUACUUGACCCCAAGCCUAUGUUACUAGCUAAAAAAGUCCUAUCGUGAUCCUAAGGGUUGUAUAGCGAACUUAAUGCAGUGAAAAUAAGGGCAAGCUUAUGGCAAAACGUAUGAAUGAGUGUGACUUUGUUCUGAGAGUGAGUGUUGAAAAUUAAUCCUUAUACUCAAACUGAAAUCAUUGUGUGAAAAAGGAGGAUUUUAUUUUAAAGUGAGGACACUAGUUGCAAUACCAGAAUUGUUAGCACCUCGGUGAGAAAUUGAAGAGGAUAGGUGUUAUUGCGUGGUGAGUCUGUAUCAUGUUCUGAUCCCACAGAAUUCAAGCCUAAUAGUGAUAGCAUGCUUAGAUUUGAUGAGAUUAAUCGGGAUUGAUAGACAAAUGAUUGCAAAGGAUAAAACAUGGAUACUAUUGUACAAAGAUUGUGUAGUGAGUCAUAGUGCGUCGCUUGAGGACAAACAACGAAUUUAAGUUGAGGGUGUUGAUAUACCGUGGUUUCACGGUAUUAUUAAUACUUUUUCCUUAAGUUUAUUGUGUCCAAAAGCCUUUUUGUGCUAAUUUUUAUAUAAGUUUCUCUUUGUUUUGCAGGAAAUCUGUCCAAAGCUGAAUGCGGAGAUUUUGAGCGAAGAAAUGCAGAAGAGACCACCUACGGAGCUUGUGACGGUCCAUCGUGCUUGUGACGGUCCGUAGGUGGCAGCGUAGUGCAGCUGCUGAAGGAAGAUGGGGAAGUCUGACCAAGUGUGGGAUUACGUAGCUUGUGACGGUCCGUCGUGUCUCUGACGGUCCGUCCUACAGAUUCGUCGUGAAGUUCAGAAAAGUGAUCCCAGUACCCAGAUUCCAAGAGUUGAAGUGUUUUAGAACGAAGACCCUCGACGGACCGUUGUACCUAUGACGGUCCGUCAUACUUGCCGUCGAGGGGAAUGAAGAGAGCAGCAGAAUAAAUUGCACAAGUAUGGGACGACGGAGUUCAGACGGUCCGUUAUGACCACAACGGUCCGUCGCGAGGUCCGUCGACCCAGCCGCGUUUUGGCAGAUUUCCAGCAAUUAGAAUCCUUGUUUAGUUAGGUUUUUGUUUUUUUUAUAAAUAGUUCGAAAUACCUCAAUUUUGAGGUUAGACACCAGAUAGUUAGACUCCGUAUUAUUAGACUUCGUGUAUUAGAUUUUGAGAUUCUUGCAAUUGAUUUUUGGAGAUUAAUCAAGCAAACUUUGGAUUUUAUUCUUUCUCAUUAAAGUAAGUACAUGAAUUCGUAUUUAAUAUAUUUGAAUAUUGUGUUUAUGGCUAUGAGUAACUAAACUCCAUAACUAGGGUUGUGGGAACCAUAGGCAAAUAAUGAGAUAAACCCUAACUAAAAUAACAAUUCUAGAUUAGUAUCUUGCAUGUAUUAAUAAAUAUUUCGCUUAAAAGUCUUUUUAACGGAUGGCCAACGUUAGAACUCGCCUUAAUGCUACUUGCCGGACCAAGGAGGUAGCUAAUAGGAAAAGAAUUAUUAACAUAGAUUUAGUGUAUACUAUCUAAUAGGCUAGUAUUGAUUGGUACGAGGUAAUAACUUAGUCAAAUAUCGAAUACGAUGCUUAAUAUGAGGUAAGGGUAAGGGUUAAGAUAGCAACACACGUAGCCGGACCAAGGUGCGGAGUGACAUUUUCUAGAUGCCGGACCAAGGAUUUAGAAAUACAUAACUUAUCACUUUGCAUGCAAGAUACUAGUAAAGAAUUGUUAUAGUUAAAAUUAUCAAGUUAUGAACCUGUGGGGAACACGUAAACUCUAGUUACUUUGAUUAAUUGAUUAAAACCCAACAUUCAAAGCUGUUAAGUGUCUCUUUCAAGUUCGUUAUUUAUUUUCACUCAUUUAGAAAUAGAAACCCCCCCCCCCUUUAUUGUUUUUUUACUUUCCAAGGAAGUCAUUAACCAAACAAUAAUAAUAAUAGGUUGAAGUUAAGUCUAGACUAAUUUCCUCGUGGGAACGAUCCCAACCUCACUAGUUGGGUUAUUUACUUGACACGGCCGCUUUACUUUUUAUUUGAGAAGUAAGUUUGAGCGUAUCAAGAAUCAACUAUAAUAACACCUUUUUGACAUCAAUCCUAAAUCCUAGUUUAUAUGGUUUCCAAUAGAAGAACCAGGUUCAAACAAAUGGGUCUCCCAUCGAUUCCCCUCACUAGAUGCACUCAAGUUGAGCCUAACAAGUGAACUAUAUUCAAGUGUAGGAUCUCCAAAAUAUUCCCCCUCACAAGGUGAAUCCUUCAUAUCCUUUAAUCUAUAUUUUAUAAGGCACCAAAGUAGAGGUGUCCUCCACCAAAUUCAUCUCAACCAUAGACCAUCACAUUGGGAUAAGGCUUUUUGUUUUGGUAGUAUUUAGGGCAUGAAUCACUUUUGGUACAAGUGGAAGAAAUAGGUUCAAGUGCAUUGAAUUUAUAUUUAAUCAUGAAUAUUUGUAGUGCACAUACCUUAGAUCUCUGGAUAAUGCUGAAUUUUGCUUCAAUUUUACUAAGCCUCUCUCUUGUGCCAGAUACAAUACAAUGUUUAUAGUGCAUGAGUAAUAUGACUUUAAAAGUGGUAUAGAUAAAUCAACUUAAUGUAUAAAACUGAGCAUAGAAUUCAAGAUUAGAGGGCAGUAUGUGCAAUGUUCAUUAGCCAUUGAGGAUACUCAUGUGACCUUAAUCAUCCCCAAGUUCCAAAUUGUUCCUUUUGAAAGUAUUUUCCUUGGCUGAUCAUAUAUUUGAUUGAUUGAUCAUCUGAGUGCGCAUAACUGUUAGAUACUGCAUAGGUUGGACCUGUUUAUUUCACAUGCUUCUUCAAUCAUUCCCUUUUUUUUCUCUUUUAUUUUUCAACCCCCUUUUUCAGUCAAUGUUAUUCAUCCAUUCCCUGUUUUUUCAAGUGAGAGGAAUUUCUUCAACUUUAAAUCAUGCAUCUAAAUAAACAUGUUCAAUUGGUGAAUGAUGCCUUCUUCCUCUCACUUUUCCUGCAAAUUCAAAGGUCAGAUUUAGGAACUCAGACUAGCUUGGGUCCUUUGUAUUGAGAAAAAUGAUGAAUCAUAUCUCUAUUAACCCAUAUUGGUAAAACAUUUUAGAUUUUUUUCUUUUCCCCCAACCUAUUCCUUUGACGUGAUUCCUUUCUUUUAACAUGGUUGGUUUUUCUAUUUGAGGCAGUUUUGAAGUUCUUAUCCGCGUGAGUUAUAACUAUUGGACAGGUACCCCUUGAGUGACCAAUACUAUCACAAUGUUUGCACAAAUAAGAGGUUUUCUUAGAAACUUCUUAAGCAAAAUUUAUUCCACCUUCAGUGUUAUGUAUUCUAUUACUGAGUUGAGACACAAUCAUGAGGAUAGAGUCCAUUUGUUUGCCCUCUCAAGCUCAUACUUAGUUCUAGCUAGGUCAAGAUUUAUUCUUCUAGAUUUUUCCCUUUCAUACGAUAGUUCAUUGUUUAACCUCAUUAGAUCUUGGUCACAUCUGAUUUGGUCACCACGAAUAUUCCAGUAACACCUUCUUUCAAAAUUUCAGAUUUGCGAGCCAAAGUAUAGGAAUGAAGUUGUUGUACCUGUUUCUUUAGGAGGUGAUUUUCUUUCUUGAGAUCAGAAUUAAUUUUUUCAAAAUCAAUAUAUUCAAAUUUUAAACUGGUUAAGGAAGUCAAUAACUGAUCUCUAUUUUCAUUUCACUCUUCAAGAUUAUCCAUGAGAGUUAGAAUAAAGGAAGAUAAUUUUUUCUUUGAAAAAGCUUUCAGUUUAUUUCUAAGGUCAAAAAGAUUUACCUCCCUUUUCUCAUGUCUGAUUCAGAUUCUGGUUCAGAUUCCUCCAUGGCCAUCAAAGAAACAUUUUCUAUAUCAUCUUUAAUUGAGUUGUCUGAACAUGUUCCCUAAUCAAUAGCAAUGUCAGAUUCUUUUUGUUUGCUCAAGGAAGUUCCUUCAUGUGCAUUGACCAAUGUGUCCCAAAUUUGUUUCGUUGUAGUACAACAAGAGACGAAAUUAAACUCGUCUGGUCCAGUCCACAUACAAGAAUAUACUUAUCUCUAGCAUUCUUGCGAUCAUUCUACAAUCAGCUUCUCCAUAUUAUGCCUUGGGCUUUGAAAUGACUUUCCCUUUAUCAUUCUUCAUCAUAGGAAUAAGGGGACCAUUAAUAACUGACAUUCAUAAUUCAUAGUCUUAGGCUUGUAGAAAAACAUCCAUUCUCGCCUUCCAUAGUGCAUAGUAAUGCCCAUUGAAUAGUGGUGGUUUAUUGACGUGUUGACCUAAACCGUGUCCGAGAGAAGUUGCAGGAUUCAUAUUGAUCGUAUCUUGAGUUAUUAGACUCUUCGAAGAUAACCCGCUCUUAUACUAAUUGUUGGAAUUCUAACCCUUAAAUUCGCUUGAUAAACAAGUAUAUUCUAUAUGUUCCUUCGCAAAUUACAACAGUUACUUUUGUGAUGCAAGUAACAUAAUGACACAAUAUUUUAUUGCGGAAAACCCCAACUCAUAAAGAUAAAAAACCACGACCUACACCUCUAUAGGAUUUAACUCCACUUUAUUAAAUUUCAAGUCUCAACAAAAGAUUACAAGCCUAUGUAACCUAAGUAAUUAUAAACUCUAAUUUCAAGAGGAAUUAUAAACUCUAAUUCCUAGCUAAGAAAUUAUAAACUCUAAUUUCUAGCUACCCAAGACAAAAAAAAAACCUUAGGUUUAAGUCUUCUACCAUCCGUCAAGUUUCUCAAACUUGUUUGAUGAAUCGUACACACACACUCGAUUGUAAUCCAAAAUCUUAAUUACAAUCUUACAAUGUUUUCCUCACAAAGUGGCAACACUCCCAAGUAACUCUCAAAACUCUCUCAAACCUCUUGAUCGUGUUUUGAUCUUCUCUCUAUUUAAGUGCACAAUUUUUCUCAAGCGAAACUAUCGCCCUAUUUAUAAACUUGGACUUGAAUCAAAACUUAUUUCAACUAAAAAUCCUACUUCAUGUAGGACUCCUCUUUUGUGUGGAACUCUUAGUUCAAAUCGAAGUUGUCUUCGCGCAUCUUCAACUCCUUGUCUGAAUCAACUUUGUCUUUGCCUCUACAAAACUUUGUUAAGUUCAACUUGGAUUCUUUAUCAUUGUUUGUCUUUCCCCGCAACCGCUUCUUCGUUCUUCUUAAACUUGUGAUGCCGCCUCAAGGAAAACUUAUACAUAGUUUUCCUUAAGUAAGUUGCCAGGAAAACUUACAAUAAUUUUCCUUCCACAAAAUUUCCUUAAUCAAAUAAGAAAAACCUUAUUGAACGCUACUUCCUUUUUCAACUUGGUUGCGAACUCCUUUAUAAAAGAAAACUUUUUGUACUUUUUGCUUGUCAAAAAAGCAAUACUUCCACAUCUUUAUAUCUCCUAUUCGCGAGAUUGACAUUCUCCUUAUCCAAGUUGAAUUCAGUCUGUAAGGAACACAUCGAACAACCUUUUUCUUUCAUAUGUUCCUGUAUUUGUCAAUUAUCAAAAGCUUUCUCAUUCUAACAGAUAUCAUUAAUCGUGAAAUAGCAGCAAACAUACUUCAAGAAAAACCAUCAAUGUUGACAUACUGGAGCAGUUACAAAGAUUUAUUAGAAAGACUCUCAAAUUCAGUAUGUCUUCUUCAUCUCUUCUUGAACACCCUUAAGCUUUAAAUAUCAUCAACUUCACGUUCCUUAGCCUCAUUCCUCGAAUUAACCAGGGACAGUUUGUCCGUUAAUUUUGUUAAUCGUUUGUUGAUCUCUUCUUACCCUCCAUUAUACCAUUUUUCACCAUAUCUGCAACCUCUGAUUAAGGGGGGAAAAAGGCAUAAGAAAAAAUAAUUGAAGGACUUGCUGCAAUAGAAUUUGUUCAAGUAAGAUUAAUCUAUAAUUUUUUUACGAAAUUAAUAUCAAUAAAUAUUUUCAUUUACAUUGUACUUUAUUUUAAUGAAACUAAAUAAAGAGAAUAACCCUAAUUUCUUUAGGUUAUCAUUAAAAGUGAUUAACUUUAAGGGGUUUGAACAACCAAAAAAUUAAAAAUUUAUGAUAUCCCUAAUUUUAAUUGAUCUAUAUCAAGCAAGUAAUUUAGAUUUAUAAGUCUAUACGAUAUAUGAAAUACAAUGCUAAUACUUUUCCCUUUUCAACACUUAAAAUGUUGCGAUACUUUGAAUUACCUAAUAUAAUCUAGAAAAUAACGAAAAAAUAGAUACGAUUCCGUAGACUCCUUAGGACUCACAACAAAACUUGAUAAAAAACAUCCAGAGAAGGAUUAAAAUGAAAUAAAAAUUUCCUCUUGAUACAAAAACUUAAAGAGUAAUAACUUACACACAAAUGUUAAGUCACGCAAGGUCAAACACAUGAGGUAAUCGCCUUUUAGUUUUGAGAUAUAGUGAAAAAUGAGGAGAAAAUAUGUGUGUAUUUAUAGGACUAUAAAAUAUUCAAAUGAGAAAAAUGGUCAAUAGUGUAGCACCCUUAUUUAAUUUCUUAUUAAUUAUAUUAUGACAGUGGGGAAGUGGGAAAAGAAUAACGACAAAUAAUAUCAAUUUAAAAGAUUGAUGAUUUUUUUAAAAUCCUCUUCUUAAAUAGUAAGAACUGUAAUGUGAAUAAAAAUAUAUUUUAUCAAUCAAGGAAAAUAUUAGAAUUAUAUUCAAAUCAAGUAAAAUAUUUUUAGAAUAUAAGUCAAUGAAAUAUUUCAAAUUUAGUAGUAUACACACCUUCGAUAAAAAUUAAAUUUUGAAUUCUAUAAAUUAGCACUCUUGUGGGUGAUAAUUUACUAAAAAGGACUUUUAUGCUUUAUUAAUUGGACUCCAUCAAGAACUUUAAAAAAUGCCAUCCUUUAAUCAAAUUUAUAAAUAAUUCGGAUUAUAUUAAAUUCAUAAAUAUAUUAAUUUAAAUUAAUAUAUUUGAGUUAUAUAUUUAAGUCCAACAAAAAUGGACUUAAUUAAAAUCUAAAUUAUUUGAUUUGACUACCAUAUAUUGAGCAUAAGUUAAAUAUUAUUUUCUGUAUUAAUUUUAUUUUGUUAAUUAUUAAAAGACAGAUUUUAUUUUUACUUGUUAUUAUUAAAAUGCAAAAGUAAAGUAGUUUUAAAUUUUUUUGGUUGAUAGAAUCACACUAUUUUUAUGUACUGAGCAUAAGUUAAAUAUUAUUUUGUGUUAAUUUUAUUUAUUCAUUAUUAAAAGAUAGAUUUCAUUCUUGCUUCUUAUCAUUACAAUGCAAAGUGAGGUUAAUAAUUCUGUUAUUUUUUAUUUUUAAAUUUUAAUGACUUAUUUUUUAAAAUUAUUUUUAAAACUUAAUAUUAAAGAUUAAUUAAUAGAAAUAUUUUGUGAAAAAAUAGUCUUGUUAAUCAUUAAUUUUUAAUAUAUAAACGUGACAAAUAAAAUUAAACAAGAGAAUAUAGGCUUCAGGUUAUAUUGAGAAACUAAUUUAUGAAAAUAAAUUUAAUGAGGAGAACCAAUAAUACGAUGAAAAUGUUAUUCUCCAAUUUGUUGGGAUUUUUUGUGAAACCAAUUCAUGUCAAUUAAUUAUAAUUAAUAACAUAUAUAUUUGUUUUUUUAAUUUAAAUCUUAUAUUAAUAUAUUUGUUCUUACACUUGUUCAUUUUAGCAAAUUAAGUAAAAAAGUUUUCGUAUAAUAUAUCUUUUUUAGUAAAUAAUUAUAUGAAAUACUAAUGGUCAAUUUUAUUAAUUAAGAUUUAUUUUUAUAAAAUACAAAUCUAUCUAACGUGUAGUUUUAAUGAAAGAAACCUAAUAAUUGAUCUGGUUCAAUUUAAUGUGCUCGUUAUUUUAGUUUCUGGAAUUUGAUUAUUUGAAAAACAUCUUUCGCAAAUGCAUAUUAUACUUCUAAACAAUUAGGAAUUUUGAUUUAUUUAGAACAUUAGUAAUAUAUAUUAGAAAAAAUUGUAUGAAAUAGUAAACUAUUAAUUCAAAUUAAAUGUUAUAGUCAAAAUUUAUUUUAAUUGUAAUUCGCACCAAACAUUCUUUAUUUUUAUUUGCCAUCUUUUGAUACACAAUUAACCAUUUUAUAUAUUUCGUAUAAAAUGUAUAAAUUGCGUUUGUUUUGUAUAAAGCUAGAAAAAUAUAUAUACAAAUACAAAUAUAUCUAUUUUCAUCCUAUACACUUAUAGUUAUACAAAUACAAAUCUUAUUAUGCAAAUUACAAUGUAUAAUGAAUUUAUUCAAAACCUAACAUUUGUAUAAAAUUGGAUGUUUCUAACGAAUUAUACAAAUCAAAAGCUCCAUAGCAAUAAUAAAAUUUUCUAUGGAGCCCAAUUAAGCAAACCAUAUAAAUAACAUACAAAUAUAAUUUUUAUAAUUGCUAUAUAUGAAAUUUACUCAUAUAUUAAUCUUGGGUCCAGACACGGGCCAUUUUUCUAGUAAUAUACUCCCUCCCUUUUAAAAAGAAUGACCUAGUUCGACUUGGAACGGAGUUUAAGAAAAGAAAGAAGACUUUUUAAUCUUGUGGUUAUAUAUUAAAGUUAUGUCAAAUGUAUCAAAACGCUCUUAAAUCUUGUGAUCUUAAACAUGUCAUGUUGAAAGUUAAAGUUAAAGCGUUGUCGAAAAAAGAAAAGUAUAUAUAAUUUUCACGAAAGUUUUUGCCUUUUCGAAUUCACAUACAUAUUGGACAAAUUAGUAGAAUUAAAGAGAUAUUAUUGAAUACAUCAAUUUAAGUGGAAUGACCAUUAAGAUAUCUUUAGUGUAAUUUUUGCAACUUUUUCCAUUCUCAAUAAUCGGGUUAUAUUGAUGUCGUUAUUUGAUAUUUAAAAAAAAAGGAAUAUUACAAACUCAAUAAAAAAUGGAAAAAUUACAUAAAUUAAUACAUUUUAAAAAUAAUUACUGAUUUUAGCGAUACUUUUUGUUUAUUACCAUUUAUAGCAAUACUUUGUUAAAUCUAUAAUAUGAAUUAAAAGUGAAUUAUGUAUGCAAUAUAUAUGAAUUAUAAUUGUUUUUUGAAAUAUAUCAUGUUUGUUUGGUAAAAAAUUGUCACAUUGUAUUAUAAAUGUAUUAAAAUGUGUGAUAAAUGUAUUAUUCAUCAUUAAAAUUUGUAUUAUAUGUGAAUAAUAAAUUAUUCUUUGUAAUAUGUAUUAAACUUGUAUUAUAAAUGAAUUAAAAGUGAUCAAGUGAGAUAAAAAUAUUAUUGCUAUAAAUGGUAAAUAUUUUUUUAUUAUAGUAUAUUUAUGUAAGUUUCCCAUAAAAAAUUGUAUAAAAAUUAUAGAAUUUUUAUUAUUUAUUAAACUAUAUAUUUUAUUAAUCAUAUUAUUGUAGGAACUCAACUUUAUAUCAGCUAGUAGUCUAAUACUUCUAUAUCUCGUCAAGUAGUUUAGCAUGUUUAGCACUCGUCUUAAACAAGAGUUAGUUUAGGCAAUUAGUUAGACCAUUCUUGUAUAUCAACACAAUUUUGGAUCAAUGAAAGAUACACCGAUAUCUUGUUUUUAUAUGGUAUCAACAACCCUAAUAAACUCUAAAGAAGAACUAUUUUUUUUUCUUUUCUCUUCCACCCACCCUCCACAAAUGGGAGAUGCUACUCGCAUUGUUAAUGCUGAUUACAAGGCCGAUACAAUGAUCGCUCAAUUUAACCAUGCCUCCCGAUUUCCUAUAAAUUACAUGGCAGUCACAAUUUUGCAACGUGGAAGGCAUAAUUGUCAAUGCUUAUGCAUGGUCAUGAUCUCUAUGGUUGUCUCAAUGGUGACAUUGGUAGCACAUGACCGCUACAAGGUUGGACUUGUUGUAAAAGAGUUUACACGACGUCCUGGAGUUGAUUACCAUUCCACAUCUAAACUGAUUAUCAAACCAACUACUAUGCGCUUGGUGCUCUCAAUUGUUGUCCAUCAGAAUUGGCCCCUCCGCCAACUUGAUGUCAACAACGGGUUCUCGCAGGGUCGUCUACAAGAAGAAGUGUACAUGGUCCAACCUCCGGGUUUUGCAGAUAUCAGUUCCCUUCCUAUAUAUGUAGUCUAAAUAAAGUCAUCUACUGACUCAAGAAAACCCAUGGGCAUGGUACAAUGAACUCAAGAUGUUUCUUCUGUAUCUGGGAUUUGUCAAGUAAGAAUUUGAUGCCUCACUUUUCAUUCUCGGAGUGUCGAACAUCAUUUUGUACGCCCUGUUUUAUGUGGACGAUAUCAUCACCACAAGGAAUCACAACUCUGAGGUAAAUCAGGCCAUCUAUGGACUCAAGCAAGCCUCUCGGGCAUGAUACAAUGAACUCAAUACUUUCCUUCUGUAUCUCGGAUUUGUCAAGUCAAAAUAUUAUAUGAUGCCUCACUUUUCAUUUGCGAAGUGUCAAACAAAAUUUUGUACGCCUUGAUUUAUGUGGAUGAUAUCAUCAUCACAGGGAAUCACAACUCCGAGGUAAAUCAGGGUAUAACUUCUCAUGCUGGACAUUUUUUCAUUAAGGAUCUUCCGUAUCUGCACGUCUUCCUUGGAAUUGAGGUGGUUCGUAUUGCCAAAGGUAUUACCUUAUCACACUCUAACUAAAUAAAUGAAAUUCUCUCCGAAGAAAACAUGCAGGACAACAAUUCGGCAAAACCCCCAAUGAGUGCCACUGACGUGCCUCAACUAAAUGUUGGUGCGCCACCAACUGAUGCCACUCGUUAAUGGAGAGUUCUUGGAAAACUACAAUACUUAUCUUUUACUCGUCCGAUACCAACUUCUCUGUAAAUAAAUUUUCUUAAUUUAUGCAUCCCCAUCUGAAGUCCACUGGAAUUCACUCAAACGAGUAUUCAAGUAUCUCCAAGGCACAAUUUGGCUUGCUCUUAACAUUCAAAGAUAUAAGAUUUCAAGCUAUACAUGUACUCUAAUGCGAAUUGGGCCGGAGAUGUAAGGGAUUGAGUUUCCACUACCUGUUACGUCUUUUUUUUUUGACCAAAAUCCUGUGAGCUAGUCCUCCAAAUAAACAAAGAACAAUUGAUCGCUCAUCAACUAAAGAAGAGUAUCGUGUUGUUGCAUCUGCACUCGUUGAAAAAUAACUGGGUGACCAAUCUGCUAAAUAAACCACAUGUUUCACUUCCCAAGCACAAACCAUUUACUAUGACAAUGUGGGUGCAACUUAUCUGUGUGCAAAUCCAGUUUUUCAUAGCGGCAUGAAGCACAUUGUUAUAGACUUUCACUUUGUUCGCAAUCAAUUUCAGUAGAAUCAAGUUCACAUUGUUCAUAUCAAUGAUGCAGAUCAACUCACGGACACUCUCAUCAAAGCACUACUGAAGCUAGCCUCUGAUAAACACUUAUUCAAGCCAGGAAUUGUUUCACACCGCCUAUCUUGAGGGGGACGUAUUAAAGCACGUGUUAAUUAUUAUAUUUAGUUGAUUAUUGUUUGACAUAUUCUACAGGUAGUAGUCUAGCACUCCUAUAUCUCUUCAAGUAGUUUAACACGUUUCAUACUCCUCUUAAAGAGGAGUUAGUUCAGGCAAUUAGUUGGUCCAUUCUUAUAUAUAAACAUAAUAUUGGAUUAAUGAAAGAUAUAUAUACUGAUCUCUUCCUUUUAUAAUAAUAACUAGUUCAAGUUGUGAAAUUUUAUAAUGUAACUUGGAAUUGUUCAGCCAUAAGGUAUUCAGGAUUAUCAACAGACACUUCGUUGAGGUCAUGUGAUAUUCCAGCCAUCUUUGGUUAGCCUUUUCGUAUUUCGGAGGACUUAACCUUUAUGUUGGGAUAAUGCACAAGUACCCCCUCAAUCUAUGCCCAAAAUCUUAGAGACAAACUUAUACUAUACUAAAGUCCUAUUAUCCCAUAAACUUAUUUUAUUAAUAAUUUUCUACCCCUUUUAAGCCAAUGUGACACUAACUUGUGGGUCUAACGAUGAUUGACUUUUUUUUCAAGCUAGUGCCACGUAGGCCGAAAAGGGGUAGAAAAUUACUUAUAAAAUAAGUUCAAGGGAGGGGGUAAUAGGACCUUAAUAUAAUAUAAGUGUGUCUCAGGGAUUUCGGUCAUAGGUUGAGGAGUACUUGUGCAUAUUCCCUUUAUCUUACAGUUAGUAGUUUUGAGAUUUCAGGGGUCUAGUCAUGAUAUCCUUAUGUAAUAGUAGGUAUUUCAUAGAUUAAUAAAGUUGAGUAGUUUUCAGUAUGUAUCUUCUUUGAAUUGUUUUUACAAACUCUGAGCUUAUCUAUUGAGUAGUUUUCAGAUCUUUUUAAAGAUUGAAUAUUUUAGCAAAUUUAGUUUUUUAAGCUUUUGUAUGCUAUGGUAUUCGUGUCGAUCACGUCUAGAGUGUAGGCACGGGUUGGGUCGGGUCGUGACUGCUAAGAUGCCAGUUACAAGCCACCACACUUUUCUGGUCUUUGUUUGUUCUACUUUACCUUUAUUCAUAUUCUAUAGACUUUCUAAAUUAAUGUUGUGGAAUAAUUUGAAAUCUUCCUUUUAACCAUUCACAUAAGCAAACAGAGUCAAGAAAAUCUAAAUAUAUUAAAAAAUGACAUGGGUGUUUUUUUCCAGUUUGAAAAUGGCAAAGCCUUAUGAUAGUGAAAAUCACAUCUUAAGUUAAAGGGGAACGCCAAAACCACAAGCUCAAAAAUAUAUACCAUGACAAGAAUAUGACCUUGCCUAAAGAAUAAAACAAGAUAGCAAAGGUUUAAUAUUAUUUCCUUUUGUAUAUAAAACAUCAAUAGUAUACAUAAAAUAAACAAGUAAAGUAUUGGUGAUAUUGUUGAUCAGGUCUACUGGUCAAUGUGCACCCACAUUCCACGGCUAGGAACACUGCGGUGAACCACGAAGAGUAAAUAGUAGCCUGGUGGAGCAAUUCUCCCAGAAGGUGGUGCAACUACAGUAACUUCUUGAUUCGUCACAGCUUGAAGCUUCAAAAUGAGCAGCCUUUGUCCUUGAGAGUAGCCAUGUGUUGUAAAAGGUGGUGCAUACAUGGUAACUUUAAUAUCAGUCUCAUCUACAAAUUCAUCCAACUUGAUAUUGAUCUUAAAAUUCUGACCAUAUUUCAUCUCCUUGUUGGCUCCAUUCUCAAGAAUUAGAGGUUUGUGUUGUUCCAACUCAGGUGCCAAGUAAGGAGGUGAGAAUUUCUCCACUCUCAAAUCAGUUGGAUAUUUAGCCUGGAAGUCAUACACGGCAUGGGUAUUGCUGCCCGCCACUAAAAUCUUGCCAUCAGGCAAAACAGCAGAAACGGAAUGGUACAUUCUAGGGAUUUGUGAAGGGUUCAAUUCCUUGAACCUCUGUCCUUUUGGUUUGUUUGGGCUAUAGAGAAGUGGCACAAGAUUAGGUUCCUCAGCAGCAUCCCAUGCCGAAGUUCCUGUCUUUGCUCCAUUGAUGAUCAAUAUAUCUCCGUUUGGUAGAAGCAACAUGUCUCCCAUCACUCUUGGUGAAAGCAUUUCUUCGAUAUCCCAUUGAGCUCCUUGUCUGUUAGCAAAUAUUCUUCCACAAUCUUUUAAUGCAGGGAAGAAUUGUCUAGGUGGAAACUCGGAAUAUUUGAAGGCAUCCUUGGUAUUUCCACCACAAACAAUGAUCUCAACUUCAACAUCGUCAGGAUUAGGAGUAUUGAGAUUGAUUGGCAAAAGUGCGGACGUUCCUGAUGCUGGAUAGUUUCUUGAACCUCCAGGGAGUACAGGAAGAUCGCGGAUGGUUUUUCCAGUAUAAGGAUCAAUGAUUAUUGAUCUAUCGUUUGCAAAAAUAAAUACAUUCCCAUCGGGAAGAAGAUUGACGAAUGGAUAGAGAUUGUUUUCUUUCUCGUCUUCAGUCUCGACAAGGAAAUUUAACCCAAAUUG